RNAcentral lists this unclassified non-coding RNA (309 nucleotides) under plant metagenome. RNAcentral's name for it is "partial contains 5.8S ribosomal RNA, internal transcribed spacer 2, and large subunit ribosomal RNA". The stretch from base 1 to 105 matches the Rfam family "5.8S ribosomal RNA", at positions 50 to 154 of the family's 154-position model. The record is from RNAcentral.
GAAAUGCGAUAAGUAGUGUGAAUUGCAGAAUUCAGUGAAUCAUCGAAUCUUUGAACGCACAUUGCGCCCCUUGGUAUUCCAUGGGGCAUGCCUGUUCGAGCGUCAUUUGUACCCUCAAGCUCUGCUUGGUGUUGGGUGUUUGUCCCGUCUCCGCGCGUGGACUCGCCCCAAAGUGAUUGGCAGCCGGCGUUCUGGUCCCGGAGCGCAGCACAUGUCGCGCAAACGAGUGCCUUGGUACGGCGGCGUCCAUAAGCCCCUCUCUCACGCUCUUGACCUCGGAUCAGGUAGGGAUACCCGCUGAACUUAAGC